RNAcentral lists this ribosomal RNA (250 nucleotides) under uncultured Pseudomonas sp. RNAcentral's name for it is "partial 16S ribosomal RNA". It matches the Rfam family "Bacterial small subunit ribosomal RNA", at positions 103 to 355 of the family's 1533-position model. Lineage: Bacteria; Pseudomonadati; Pseudomonadota; Gammaproteobacteria; Pseudomonadales; Pseudomonadaceae. The record is from RNAcentral.
CGGGUGAGUAAUGCCUAGGAAUCUGCCUGGUAGUGGGGGACAACGUUUCGAAAGGAACGCUAAUACCGCAUACGUCCUACGGGAGAAAGCAGGGGACCUUCGGGCCUUGCGCUAUCAGAUGAGCCUAGGUCGGAUUAGCUAGUUGGUGAGGUAAUGGCUCACCAAGGCGACGAUCCGUAACUGGUCUGAGAGGAUGAUCAGUCACACUGGAACUGAGACACGGUCCAGACUCCUACGGGAGGCAGCAGCC